This 465-nucleotide ribosomal RNA is filed under the name uncultured bacterium. Its description in RNAcentral is "partial 16S ribosomal RNA". It matches the Rfam family "Bacterial small subunit ribosomal RNA", at positions 28 to 507 of the family's 1533-position model. The record is from RNAcentral.
GACGAACGCUGGCGGCGUGCUUAACACAUGCGAGUCGUACGGUAAGGCCCUUUCGGGGGUACACGAGUGGCGAACGGGUGAGUAACACGUGAGUAACCUGCCCACAACUUUGGGAUAACGCUAGGAAACUGGUGCUAAUACUGGAUAUGUGCUCCUGCUGCAUGGUGGGGGUUGGAAAGCUCCGGCGGUUGUGGAUGGACUCGCGGCCUAUCAGCUUGUUGGUGGGGUAGUGGCCUACCAAGGCGGCGACGGGUAGCCGGCCUGAGAGGGUGACCGGCCACAUUGGGACUGAGAUACGGCCCAGACUCCUACGGGAGGCAGCAGUGGGGAAUAUUGCACAAUGGGCGCAAGCCUGAUGCAGCAACGCCGCGUGCGGGAUGACGGCCUUCGGGUUGUAAACCGCGUUCAGCAGGGACGAAGCUUUUUGUGACGGUACCUGCAGAAGAAGCACCGGCUAACUACGUG